Molecule: ribosomal RNA, 237 nt
Filed under: uncultured bacterium
Lineage: Bacteria
Description: partial 16S ribosomal RNA
Rfam family: Bacterial small subunit ribosomal RNA
Source: RNAcentral
UACGUAGGGUGCAAGCGUUAAUCGGAAUUACUGGGCGUAAAGCGUGCGCAGGCGGUUUUGUAAGUCUGACGUGAAAUCCCCGGGCUCAACCUGGGAAUUGCGUUGGAGACUGCAAGGCUAGAAUCUGGCAGAGGGGGGUAGAAUUCCACGUGUAGCAGUGAAAUGCGUAGAUAUGUGGAGGAACACCGAUGGCGAAGGCAGCCCCCUGGGUCAAGAUUGACGCUCAUGCACGAAAGC